This is a long non-coding RNA of Arabidopsis lyrata subsp. lyrata, 1181 nucleotides long. RefSeq lists it as uncharacterized. Lineage: Eukaryota; Viridiplantae; Streptophyta; Magnoliopsida; Brassicales; Brassicaceae. The record is from RefSeq and is a predicted model, not a curated record. The transcript has 3 exons.
GCCACCUUCGUAUUUUCAUUUUCUUUUACCAUUUUUUUUUAAAUCAAAAGCUAAGUAAAUGUCCAAAAACCCAUUGUCAACAACGAAAACUACCAACCCAACCUGAAGUAUCCGAUUAUCCGCUCCAAAUUUGAUGAUCCGAACUGAAUCCACACAAACUCACAAAAUACUCUUAUUUAUUUCUUCUUCGUUUCUUCGUCAAUUUUCUUCAAUCGUUUAUUCUUCUUUCCUUUUCUCUUCUUCUUAAGCUCCAAAAUCCCCAUAUCAUGAACUUCAAUCCAAGAACUACUUGAGUUGAGAGUCGAAAUCAGAGUUUCGGAGAUCUCGAUUGAGAUUCUUCAAUUCCAAAAGGCUAACAUGCACAAAAAGGAUCUUCCAUCUGAUGUGUUGCUUCAGAAGAUAUCGGAAUCUGAAGCGAAUAAAUUGGUGGAUGAGGUUGUGAAAUCUCGGAAGCAAGAACUGAUUCGGGGAACUCUGAGAUCGAAGAUUGGAUCUGCGGUUUUCAUUGCUGAGGAAAGUAGACUGGGGAUUGAUCGUGUUUGGUAAAGGAGUUGCGUAUUACUUUGAUUCCAGAUGUAUAUUCGUUGAUGGUUUCGGCGGCUCCAUAUACUUAUGACGUCGCUCCGAUUGAGUCAUAAGAAUGCUGGAUUGAAUCGGCUUGAUGAAGGAACCAAAAUUUGUGAUGAGAUUGGUGUUUGUCUUCACUUAUAUGAUAUUAGUCUGAUUGGAAGAGAUCGAAAAUGGCCAAAUGCAUCAUUGUUUAGAAUGUUUAUAGGUUAAAUCUUGUGUUUGAACGAAUUGUUUGGUUUUUGUGUAUCAGGUUACUCCAAGAAAGGUGUUGGAAUUUAAAAAUCCUAAAGAAGCCAUAUGUGAAGUUGCUGAGAAGCUUGUUGUUGGAAGCCAUGGUAAAGGAGCAUUACAAAGAUAUGGAUUUUCUACAUCAUUUGGUUCAAUAAAAUGAAGAACUAAAAAGCUUUCUAAAGAGUAUAAUAGUGGUUUGAAUGAUGAUUUGGUGUUGGGAGAUCCUACUGUGCCAAGGUUUGUGUUGUGGAAUGGGAAACUGAUAUGUUGCCAUCUCUUUUGUUUUCGAUUAAGCUUUUCAUUUGUUGUUUAUUUUCACACAACUACGGAUGUAAUCUAUUUCUCACAAAGCAGAUGGAUACUUAUCAUAUUGUAUGCAA